Long non-coding RNA from Rattus norvegicus (Norway rat), 1377 nucleotides. RefSeq lists it as uncharacterized. Lineage: Eukaryota; Metazoa; Chordata; Mammalia; Rodentia; Muridae. The record is from RefSeq and is a predicted model, not a curated record.
GGAAGGAGGGAGGGAGGAAGGAAAAGGAAGGUAGAGAAGGAGGAAGGAAGGAAGGAAGGACAGGUGAGUUCUCUGCUACUGUGUACCAGGGCUAAGCCACCUCCCUCUGCACAGCCUGACUUCCGUAACCCUGCUCCUUGCUGGUGAAUCGUACACCUUUGCCUUGACAGUUUCCAUGGAAUCCUGAAGUUUUCAUUCCAUUUGAGUAGCCUUAAAGACUCAUCAGAUCCCUGCCUCUUCCUUUCCUUCUGUCAAAGGAAUCGAUUUCGGCAAAUGCCUUUUUAAAUUACACAAAUGUUCUCAAAAAGAUAGCUCUGGGGCGUGUCAAGGAAUGGUUUCAGUGUCAAAAUGGAACCAUGGGUCUUACUUUUGCGUUAAAUGGUGUGCGAGUCUCUAGCUUCCUCCACCACCUGUGACCAACCCAGUGUACUGGACUCCUUGUGCCUUCCACAACAGCCUUUGAUGUUCCUUCAGUAGGAACCCGGGGGACAUUUUCCAUAUCCAGGCACUUUCCUGGGCCACAGAAAGCAAAAUGAUCAAGAGCUAGCCUGGAGUGCGGGAAGGUGAGAAGACAAAAGAUCUAAUUCAGCUCAUUACAACCAUUUACAAGAUAAAAGAGAGGGGGUAGGGACAGGCCAGCCCCGUUAGUUCUGUGUGGGUUGCACUAAACUUCCUUUUGUUGGCUCAACCUGGCCUUGCACUACAGUCGGGAGAAGGAAUGAUGCCCUAUCCUCCCUUGAGUGACAUCACAAUAGGCUUCCUCUUUCUCUUGGUCAGAAGGCACCCAGGACAGACAUAGCUCUGGGCAAUGUUUUUACUUUUCCCACCAACUAUUGAUCCAGGUACUGGAGAAGUGGUCAGAGAGCUUUCCACCAAAGCACCAUUCAGCUCACAAUUCCAGGUAUGGUCCAUCAUGGCGGAAAAGUCACACGGGACCUUGGGGGAGCUGGUCACAUGGCAGCCACACUAAGGAGCAGAGAACGAAGAAUGCAUUCAGGCGUGGGAUUUCAGCAGCAAUCAAGGCUGAGACCAAGGGGCUUCUCCAUCCCCCCAGACGGUAGGAGGAGAGCCACCCAGGCGUGGGGAGCGGAGCGCCAAGUGGGGAUCAGAGGCCACACCCUGAAGCUGCCUCUCACCCUUACUCCGCCAUCCGAACAACCUGAAAAAUUAUUCAGCAUCUUCUUGUCGUGCCCUGCUGGGCCGUCAGACUGCCUUUGCCUUCUGCACAUUCCUCGGGUGUUCUGGUAACUGCUGGCAGGAACAGCAGGGCCCAUUUCCACCGACAAGUCAGGCCAAAGUAGAAAUACCUCUCAAGGGCCCUCCCUCUGGCACAGCUGGACUUUCUUUGCAGAGGGUAAUAAAGUAAGUCCCACUUCA